UCACAGGUGAUUCACAACACUCUAAAUACUCAAAGAAGGUUCAGUUGCUCAGUCUCACCGUGUUGGUAGAGUUAGCUCAGCUUAUGAAGCAAGUCAGGUUGUUCUUAAAAAAGAUCAGUGGGAAGCAAGAGAGAAGUAAAGGCCGGGUUUACUGCUGUUUAUAAUUUCUUGGCAUUUGAAGAAUGGAGAAAUUGAAGAAUGGAGAAAUUGAAGAAUAGAGGGUUGAUUGUUGGUGAUAUAACUGUUGAUGGAUAUUUUGGAAUUAACUAUUUUAUUAGGUUUUAUGUUUAUUAAAUGGAGGAUAUCUGAAUGUGGAUUUAUGGUUGGUUGUUAGUGGAUUAUAUGAAGUAUGGACUACUUAUUAUUAUAUUC
This is a long non-coding RNA of Manihot esculenta (cassava), 372 nucleotides long. RefSeq lists it as uncharacterized. The transcript has 3 exons. The record is from RefSeq and is a predicted model, not a curated record. NCBI's taxonomy places the organism in Eukaryota, Viridiplantae, Streptophyta, Magnoliopsida, Malpighiales, Euphorbiaceae.